RNAcentral lists this long non-coding RNA (1067 nucleotides) under Pavo cristatus (Indian peafowl). RNAcentral describes it as "lncRNA (ENSPSTG00000014769.1)". Lineage: Eukaryota; Metazoa; Chordata; Aves; Galliformes; Phasianidae. The record is from RNAcentral.
AAAAUCUGCACUGCCCUCCAGCAGGCCCCUGCCCUGCCCUUCCUCCUCCAAGGGCUGUGCUGUCCCUGUGCCAUUGCACCACCUGAGAGAAGCAGGCCAUCUCUCAGCCAUUUGCCCUCCAACUUGCCCCUCGUUCAUGGCCUCUCUGCUCAGCUCCUUUCUGAGCAGCAGGUGCCUCUUGCAGCAGGGAAUGCCCCCGGCCCAGGUGCAGCACAUCAGCGUUAGGGCCCAUCCUGCAGGUGGGCGGGGAGCAGUGCUGGGGCUGAUUUAUUCCCUGUCCUGGCUGUGGGACAUGCUGCUGGGGGAAGGUGUGAGUGUUCAUGCAGGAGCAAAAUGCGGUGUGGAAGAGAAGAACGUAAUGAAACUUACUCCAAAUAUCCCGAGGGUAUCCAAGGCGUUCCGUGCUGCAGUGAGCUGGGCAGGCAGCUUCCUUAUAUUUGGAGAGCCUGUGAAAAGAGAAGUGAGAAAUGAAUUGCACCAGAGGGGCUCAGCCUAUUUUUAUUAGCAGAGCAGGAUGUGGAUACAAAGAUCUAUGAGAACCAUGGAGUCAUUAAGGCUGGAAAAGCCCUCUGAGAUCCCNGUGUGCUGCUGGUGCUCUGGCUGAUGGUGAAGCCUGAAAGUACGCAUUCCCAGGGGGUUUGUUUGGAGCACUGAGCUUCCAGCUUCUCCCUCACUGAUGGUCCAGAUUCUGGACUCGGCUGGAACAUCUGUGUGCGGUGCUGAGCAACCUGCUCUGAUGGGAGGAGGGCACGGGUGGUUCCUGGGUCAGAAACAGUGCCCUGGGUGUGGUGGAAGAUGGGAAUGUUUGCUCCCAUCUUGUUGUUGUCUCCUCUGUGCUGAGCUGCCUGGCCCUGCACAUCACAGCACUCCAUUACCUGCCCAGGGCUCACUGAGCACUUGUUGAGAGAGACCUGAAAUAAAGUAAUACUUCUGAAAUCGCUUACUUUAUAAAACAGCCAGUAUGGAUUUCUUUUUUCUUUCGAAUGCUAUUUUAGUGCAAACUGGAAAUUGCAUUUAAAUGAGUGCUUAGUCCAUGAGCCAUUGAGAAAAUCAAUACCAAACCUAAC